AUUGAACGCUGGCGGCAUGCUUUACACAUGCAAGUCGAACGGCAGCGCGGGCUUCGGCCUGGCGGCGAGUGGCGAACGGGUGAGUAAUACAUCGGAACGUGCCCAGUAGUGGGGGAUAGCUCGGCGAAAGCCGGAUUAAUACCGCAUACGACCUGAGGGUGAAAGCGGGGGAUCUUCGGACCUCGCGCUAUUGGAGCGGCCGAUGGCAGAUUAGCUAGUUGGUGGGGUAAAGGCCUACCAAGGCGACGAUCUGUAGCUGGUCUGAGAGGACGACCAGCCACACUGGGGCUGAGACACGGCCCAGACUCCUACGGGAGGCAGCAGUGGGGAAUUUUGGACAAUGGGCGAAAGCCUGAUCCAGCGAUGCCGCGUGUGUGAUGAAGGCCUUCGGGUUGUAAAGCACUUUUGGCGGGAACGAAAAGGACUGUGCCAAUACCACGGUUCGAUGACGGUACCCGCAGAAUAAGCACCGGCUAACUACGUG
RNAcentral lists this ribosomal RNA (484 nucleotides) under uncultured bacterium. Its description in RNAcentral is "partial 16S ribosomal RNA". It matches the Rfam family "Bacterial small subunit ribosomal RNA", at positions 29 to 507 of the family's 1533-position model. The record is from RNAcentral.